CUUUACAUAUCAAAGCGCUACAUUCAUUUCAAGUAUUCACCUGACCUGAAGAGCAUGAAUUGGCCCAUUUAUUUCUCUCCUAAGCAACACAUGUUGCAGAUGAGUGUUUGUGUUGUGUGCAGAUGCUGUGGCGUCUCUCACAGGGUAGUGUUAUAUCUCAGAGAUGUGGAUAGUUGUUAUCUUCUGUCUGUGGAGGAUUAUCUGAAAAAUGGUGUGUUUCGCAGUAUAGCCAGUGUAAGGUCCGGCAGCCGCUACUAUGGCAAGCGCAGAUGCGGGAAGACAGCGGCCUCGUUGGAGAAAGGGCACCCAGAGUCUUUCACGGGGGCUGUUCUGCUGCUCAUGUUUGCGAGGGGAGGAGAAGGAUUCUCUGCAGGGACAGGAAAGGAAGAUUAAUAGUGGCCCUCAGGAUCCACACUUGGAUCAGCGGGGAUCAGGUGAGAUGCAGGCUAUCCAGAUUACAGUGGAGGAUCUGGGCAUAGUUAACAGCAGCUUCAGCCUGUUCGAGGAGGACCUCCUGACCCCGGGGACCAGCAUGGCCUGCUCAGCCAGCUCCGUGUGUGCCUGCACCAGGGCCCUGAAGAAGAAACGACUGAAGCCCCUGUCUUCCCUCCCUAUCCAGGCCAAAAUGGCUGCCACUUGUACCAGUGUCGAAGAUGACGAAGAAGAGGAGGAAGACACGUUACUGUUUGGGAGUGGCACCAAUAGCACGGCAGCUUCGGGAAGCCUCCUGACACAACCUGUCAUUAAUCUGAUACCACCCACUCCCUCUGACGUGGCCGACGACGAUCAGUUCUUUGACAUUAAUUCAGAGGAGAGCGUGGCGCACACAUCUGGAAGUGACGGAAGCUUUGCUGCUGGCGACGAGGAUAGUUACAAAGAGAAGACAGAGAGGGUGGAGACCGAGGAGUCAUCAGAGGAAUUCACAGUGGCUGAGAGUAAGGUCAGUGCUGAUGGUGCAGCAACUGAGGAGGGCCAAAGUGAUCAGUUGGGAGAAGAUAAAGAGCCCAUGCCAACCGAAGUGGGGGAUAAAGAGAAAACAAAACCCAGGUUCUUACGUAGCAUCUACCAGGUGGCUCCUCUUCCUGAGUGCUCUCAGAAAAGGAUCUUCAACACUGGAAUAAAUCUCAUGGCAUUUACUGAGCACAACCUGGAUGACCUGGGCAAAAGAGAUGUGAGCUGCUCUGACACGCUGACAGCUGAUCUGCCUCCUCACGCCACCGACAUGGACACAUUCACUCACCAGCGGAGGCCGAUAACUCGCUCCUGCAGUGUUGGGGACACACUGAACAGGAGCGCCACUUUCCACGCUUUAACUCAACCCUCACACCACCAGGAUGAGGAGGGCUCGCCACGACGACGCAUAACCGUUGCAUCAUAUAUGCCUCAGUCUAAGGAUCAGAAUGGAAACUUCCCUGAGAAGGACACAGACAAGCAAGUGGCCAAAUCUCUCAGGGAGCUGAACACAGAGGAAGUCUGCCACUGGUUUACGAGUAUUGGACUGGAGAAAUGUCUCCCUUCCAUCAGAGAAGCAAAACUGUGUGGAGCAGACAUCGCUUCGGUGGAUGUGAACACUCUGGACAUCCUUCACAUCGCAACACUGGAAGAGAGGGAGCAGCUACUGUCGGCCAUUUAUAAUGAGCUACACCCUCCCACCAGCACCACCAAAAGAAUUGACUCCCUGCUUGAAUUUUUAGGCAAUAAUAACGUUGAGACAUUCACUGCGACACUGGCAUCAAUGAGCAAGUCGAAGUCUUCUCCUCAUGUGAGCUGCCUGAGCAUGAAUCGACGUUCCCUGAAACUCAGAAACAACAGCCAAAACUCCACUGGACAGAGGAAUCCUCAGAUGAUAGAGAUUACUAUCAACGCGUCAGAGCGGAUAGUUCAUCUCAGAACCCCAAAGGAAACCACGGUGGGAAAAAUCAUGGACUCGUGCAUCAAAAUGUUGGGAAUGACAGAGGAUAAGAGUCUCUUCAUACUGAAAGAAACGCAAGAGUCAUCAGAGGAGCUUCCACCAGAUCAGCAGAUUGGGAGUCUGCUGACAUCGAAGUCAGAGAACAGACAAUUGGAGCUGCAUUUGUGCAAAACAGAGAAGUCAACAGGGACGUCUUCUCAAAAUAAUCCAGAGGUCAGCUCUGAUGAGAACAGCAACAUCAAUAAAAAUGUCCAGGUGAACCAGCCAGCUAAAGAAGAGAGGAUCAGGGAGCUAAACCAACAGGUGGACUCGCUACAAAAUGUCAUCCUUCAGGUCCAGGAGCUCCACCACGGCCUGGUAGCAUUUUGCUCAGAGUUAAAGAGCAUGGAUGGAGACGUGAAUGCAGACAGGCUUGGCUCUGCUGAGCUGAAGCUGAGGCUGGAGCUGGUUAAAAGCCAACUGAACGACAAGAGGCAGAGCCUGCAGGCCCUCAGAGACAAUAUCAACAACUCUGCUGCUCACAAGAAGAAGCCGCUGGAUGUUCGUCUCUUGGAAAAGAUGAAGCUGAACUGCCAAGUGUUUAAGGAGGAGAUUUCCAUGGUACACCUCAACCGACAGGUGGCUCACCUCCAGAACGCUUUGCAAGAAAGCUACGUCAAGGAGAAAUCUCGAAAAAAGACUUUGGACGUCUGCAGCCUGAGCCAACUUGUGUCCCUGCAGUCCCCGGCCAUGCUGCUGGUCGUACAGGAGAGCCGAGACCCUGAUGGUCAUUAUGGCUUCAUGUGUCGCUACAAAGACGGAAGUGGACUGGUGGUGGCCAAGGUAGACAACUCUCAACUCUGUGUGGAUGACAGACUGGUAGAGGUGAACGGCAUAUCAGUGGUCAACUCUACACAGGAAGAACUGACUGACAUCCUCCUGCAGGGACCAAGCGCUCAAAUUGUCGUCCUUCGCCAGCCCCCACCCAUCCUCACCUCCCAGCAGCGCCCCCUGCUCCCGCAGCACACAGCCCGCCCUGAUCCCAUUCAAACGAUCUGCCCAGAGAGGGAUGUGGUCACCAUGGAAACCCCUCCAUGUCGCAGGGUGAUGGCCAUCUGAUGACAGGAGAUUAAGACAGAGACAGAGGGAGAAACAGUGGUGAUGAGGAUGGAUAUAAGGGUUUCCACUAUUUUGAUGUCUGUCUAUAGGCUGACCCAUGAUGUUAAAUGCCAAUGCCAUCUCUCAUUAGUUAUUUACCUCCAUCCGUCAAACUGUAAUGAUAAAAAUGUUCUUUAUGGAUUGCUGCCAAAUGCCUUUUUGUUAGGAAUGUCAAAUUGUGAUGUGUUUUUGUGUUUUUAAAUGUCGCCACAUGUGCAUAACUUUGUUCUUGGUAGAUAGUAGACGUAUCCACCAUAUUGUUUCGAUGUAUGUAGGCAGAACAAUGACUAUGGAAAACAUAUUUCUGGACAAAAAAAACACAAAAAAACACAAAGGCUACAUUCAUUUCUUUUUUUUCUAAUCCUUCCUGUUUUAUAUCAUAUUUGUGGCAUGAGGGAAAAUGAAAAGUAAAAAAAGAAAAAGAAAGGUUGAGAGGCUGAUAGAGCAUUGCUCCACUGGAUACGUGAUAAGCAUUUCUUUUUUAGCAUCCAACCGAGUAUUUCGGUAAGGUACAACAAUAUGAGCCUGAUGAGGGCUCAGGAUGCUUUACCUUUUUGAAGUACAGAUAGAAUCCAGAUAGAGUCAAACAAUGUCAAACUACAGUGACGUAGCGUAAAGACACGUCCGAAAGCUUUGAACCCUAUCUGUCUCUCCAUGCAGAUUAGACACUAAGAUGGUCGGGAACACUGAUGAGAGCAGAACAUGUCUUAAAAAAUGAGUCACGUCUCCCCUUUGUAUGCUGUAAUGUAAUCCACUGUGCUGUAGGAAUAAACCCUUGGGCCCGGAAAUGCCUCAUUUCUCAGCCUUGUUCUCCCUCCUUAAGUGGCAGUGGAUCAUGCAAGUCCGACAGAAAGACAGCACAAACACUACCAAACCAUGACCCAGACCCCUGGGGUCCAAAGAGCCUGAGAGGAGAAGUGAUGAGACCAGUUUGGCCUGUCAGCUGAUGAGAAAGGUCACAGGUCAGCCACCAAUACAGUUGUGCAUUAAUGGUUUUGCAAUCAAAGGCAAAUGAGUUCCAUAUAAUCCCGAUGAUGAGAGGGAUGGUAUUUUCUGGUUGCCAAACAGACCCACAGGGAGGGAGGAGUAUGAUACAGGGAGGCUGGAGAUUUGAGAGACUUAGUCGCAGACAUGGGAAAUUGAAGUCAAGUGCCACAAUGUUCAUUUACCCACUGACACUGAUGAAUCAUAAUGAUAUAUCUCAGGAUACGUAACAAUAUAGACAGAACUGAGAGACACAGACAGGAAGAGAAGAAGAAAAAACCUGACAAUGAUGAUGAUACUAAUUAUCAAAAUAACCAUACAGCAGGGACCAAGGCCGAUCCGGUCUCGUCUUUCAUGCAGCAGAGAGAGGCAGGCGUAGACAUUCAUAGCUCAAUAGAGUAAAGCCACACAGAGUGAGAAGGCAGAGGAGAGAAUGUGUCAUGGCUGCCUUUAUGGAAAUAAAUUAACACUGGAGAAAAUGAGACAAAAUCCUAUAAACACUGCCGCUGGCAAGAGUAGAAAGACACCGUGGGAUUCCCAGUGACCAACACACCCCAGAACACACACUCGCAGGCUUUGAUACUUCAGCUAUAAACCACUUGCAAGUUGUCAAUCUGAAACGCAGAAGAAAUCCAUCUGGGUGAGUAAUUGAAGUGACACCAUGAAACCUUCAAAACUUUUCAAACGAGGCAGCCAAAUCGAGAGGAUGAACCGCAGGAC
Long non-coding RNA from Sparus aurata (gilthead seabream), 4753 nucleotides. NCBI's taxonomy places the organism in Eukaryota, Metazoa, Chordata, Actinopteri, Spariformes, Sparidae. The record is from Ensembl.